RNAcentral lists this ribosomal RNA (492 nucleotides) under uncultured bacterium. RNAcentral's name for it is "partial 16S ribosomal RNA". It matches the Rfam family "Bacterial small subunit ribosomal RNA", at positions 29 to 507 of the family's 1533-position model. The record is from RNAcentral.
AGUGAACGCUGGCGGUAGGCCUAACACAUGCAAGUCGAACGGCAGCACAGUAAGAGCUUGCUCUUACGGGUGGCGAGUGGCGGACGGGUGAGGAAUACAUCGGAAUCUACUUUUUCGUGGGGGAUAACGUAGGGAAACUUACGCUAAUACCGCAUACGACCUACGGGUGAAAGCAGGGGAUCUUCGGACCUUGCGCGAUUGAAUUAGCCGAUGUCGGAUUAGCUAGUUGGCGGGGUAAAGGCCCACCAAGGCGACGAUCCGUAGCUGGUCUGAGAGGAUGAUCGGCCACACUGGAACUGAGACACGGCCCAGACUCCUACGGGAGGCAGCAGUGGGGAAUAUUGGACAAUGGGCGCAAGCCUGAUCCAGCCAUACCGCGUGGGUGAAGAAGGCCUUCGGGUUGUAAAGCCCUUUUGUUGGGAAAGAAAAGCAGCAGGUUAAUACCCCGCUGUUCUGACGGUACCCAAAGAAUAAGCACCGGCUAACUUCGUG